This 633-nucleotide ribosomal RNA is filed under the name uncultured fungus. RNAcentral's name for it is "eukaryotic LSU rRNA". It matches the Rfam family "Eukaryotic large subunit ribosomal RNA", at positions 24 to 664 of the family's 3401-position model. Lineage: Eukaryota; Fungi. The record is from RNAcentral.
CCCGCUGAACUUAAGCAUAUCAAUAAGCGGAGGAAAAGAAACCAACGGGGAUUGCCUCAGUAACGGCGAGUGAAGCGGCAACAGCUCAAAUUUGAAAUCUGGCUCCUUUGGGGUCCGAGUUGUAAUCUGUAGAGGAUGCUUCGGGUAGGGGCACUGGCCUAAGUUCCUUGGAACAGGACGUCACAGAGGGUGAGAAUCCCGUACGUGGCUGGAGGUCCACUACCUUGUGAAGCACCUUCGACGAGUCGAGUUGUUUGGGAAUGCAGCUCAAAAUGGGUGGUAAAUUUCAUCUAAAGCUAAAUACCGGCGGGAGACCGAUAGCGCACAAGUAGAGUGAUCGAAAGAUGAAAAGCACUUUGGAAAGAGAGUUAAAAAGUACGUGAAAUUGUUGAAAGGGAAGCGCUUGCGACCAGACUUGCCCCCCGUCGGUCAGCCGGUGGUCUCUCUCCACCGGUGUACUCGACUCGGGUCAGGCCAGCAUCGGUUUGGGCGGCUGGAGAAAGGCCAUGGGAAUGUGGCUCUCUUCGGGGAGUGUUAUAGCCCGUGGUGUCAUGCGGCCAGUCUGGACCGAGGACCGCGCCUCGUGCUAGGAUGCUGGCGUAAUGGUUGUAAGCGACCCGUCUUGAAACACGG